ACCUUCCGCGUCACGCGCGAUAAAAGAUAAGAGAGGAAGCUGAAGGUAGGCAGGCAGGCAGCGGUGAGGAAGCAGCAGCCCCGAAAGCGGAAAGAGUCUACUUACCGGCCAUUUCGGACACCGGAUUUUUUCAACUCUUUAUAAUAAACGUACUUCAACCGAAACUACCUUGUAUAGUAAAGAGAAAAAUUAUUUAAAAUAAAACCGAUGUUAGCGGAUCCCUGUUACAUAUUAAACUUAACACGAAAUAUUCAACUUUGUUCAAUGGCGGAACUCACGAGUGCAUAACAACUAUCGCGUGAGUGACGUCAUGC
Molecule: unclassified non-coding RNA, 314 nt
Filed under: Athalia rosae (coleseed sawfly)
Lineage: Eukaryota; Metazoa; Arthropoda; Insecta; Hymenoptera; Athaliidae
Description: misc RNA ENSAEAG00005009898.1
Source: RNAcentral